AUUGAACGCUGGCGGCAGGCCUAACACAUGCAAGUCGAGCGGAUGAAGGGAGCUUGCUCCUGGAUUCAGCGGCGGACGGGUGAGUAAUGCCUAGGAAUCUGCCUGGUAGUGGGGGAUAACGUCCGGAAACGGGCGCUAAUACCGCAUACGUCCUGAGGGAGAAAGUGGGGGAUCUUCGGACCUCACGCUAUCAGAUGAGCCUAGGUCGGAUUAGCUAGUUGGUGGGGUAAAGGCCUACCAAGGCGACGAUCCGUAACUGGUCUGAGAGGAUGAUCAGUCACACUGGAACUGAGCCACGGUCCAGACUCCUACGGGAGGCAGCAGUGGGGAAUAUUGGACCAUGGGCGAAAGCCUGAUCCAGCCAUGCCGCGUGUGUGAAGAAGGUCUUCGGAUUGUAAAGCACUUUAAGUUGGGAGGAAGGGCAGUAAGUUAAUACCUUGCUGUUUUGACGUUACCAACAGAAUAAGCACCGGCUAACUUCGUG
RNAcentral lists this ribosomal RNA (484 nucleotides) under uncultured bacterium. Its description in RNAcentral is "partial 16S ribosomal RNA". It matches the Rfam family "Bacterial small subunit ribosomal RNA", at positions 30 to 507 of the family's 1533-position model. The record is from RNAcentral.